AGAGUUUGAUCAUGGCUCAGAACGAACGCUGGCGGCAUGCUUAACACAUGCAAGUCGAACGCAAGGCUUCGGCCUUGAGUGGCGCACGGGUGAGUAGCGCGUGGGAACCUGCCCUGGAGUGGGGAAUAACCGAGGGAAACUUCGGCUAAUACCGCAUACGCCCCUGCGCAAGCAGGGGGAAAGAUUUAUCGCUCGAGGAG
This 200-nucleotide ribosomal RNA is filed under the name uncultured bacterium. Its description in RNAcentral is "partial 16S ribosomal RNA". It matches the Rfam family "Bacterial small subunit ribosomal RNA", at positions 8 to 226 of the family's 1533-position model. The record is from RNAcentral.